Molecule: unclassified non-coding RNA, 399 nt
Filed under: fungal sp.
Lineage: Eukaryota; Fungi
Description: partial internal transcribed spacer region
Rfam family: Eukaryotic small subunit ribosomal RNA (bases 1-46)
Source: RNAcentral
AAGUCGUAACAAGGUCUCCGUAGGUGAACCUGCGGAGGGAUCAUUAACACGUAUCCAAUACGUCCCACUCUUCAAACCCCAAAUUGCGAACCAAAUAUCCCCACUCGGAUUUAGCGGUGAACUGUAGAUCGCGGGUGAUAGACUUCGGUCUGUCUACAGUUCUGAGUGUCCAGGCGGAUUCUUCGGAGUCUGUGCUGAGAUGCAGCCGGUCUUGAAGUGGCGUAUCCUUAGUCACCUGGCUUUUAGGCCAACCCUGUUUCGACCAGGAGCCUCUAAGCCUUAGUACUCCCAAUUUUAACCCCUAUUUGAAACACUUCUGAUACUUAUGCUCUUUUCUCCUCGGAGAAAGAACAUAUACGAAAUUGCGAACAACUCUUAGCAACGGAUAUCUUGGUUCUC